CCUACGGGAUGCUGCAGUGAGGAAUAUUGGUCAAUGGACGAGAGUCUGAACCAGCCAAGUAGCGUGAAGGAUGACUGCCCUAUGGGUUGUAAACUUCUUUUAUAAAGGAAUAAAACGAGGCACGUGUGCCUUUUUGCAUGUACUUUAUGAAUAAGGAUCGGCUAACUCCGUGCCAGCAGCCGCGGUAAUACGGAGGAUCCGAGCGUUAUCCGGAUUUAUUGGGUUUAAAGGGAGCGUAGAUGGGUUGUUAAGUCAGUUGUGAAAGUUUGCGGCUCAACCAUAAAAUUGCAAUUGAUACUGGCAGUCUAGAGUACAGUUGAGGUAGGCGGAAUUCGUGGUGUAGCGGUGAAAUGCUUAGAUAUCACGAAGAACCCCGAUUGCGAAGGCAGCUUACUAAACUGUGACUGACAUUGAUGCUCGAAAGUGUGGGUAUCAAACAGGAUUAGAUACCCCAGUAGUC
RNAcentral lists this ribosomal RNA (460 nucleotides) under uncultured bacterium. Its description in RNAcentral is "partial 16S ribosomal RNA". It matches the Rfam family "Bacterial small subunit ribosomal RNA", at positions 338 to 795 of the family's 1533-position model. The record is from RNAcentral.